AUUUCAUGCUUGCCCAUGCUUUCUCUUCAAAUAUAAAUGCUUUUAAGAAGCAGCUUCUCUUUUAUUGUGAGGAUUUUUUUCCCCAUGCUGCAUUGAUUUUUUUUUUGCCCCACAUUUUUUUUUUUAAUGGCUAUUUCUCUUCCUUAACCUUGGAAUCCUCAGAAACGUUAGAAGAAAAGAGGAUAGCCUUUCCUUUUUUUUUCCUUGUGAAAAACGGUGUAAGAGCAUGAGUCCAUGGGUGGCAGUAAUCCAGUGAAUCCUUUUUGAUUCACAUUGUACAGUGUGCUACUGUGAUAUCUCUCUUGCUGUAAGAAUGUCUUCAUCACCACAAGUUACUUUUCUGGGUUCACACAUCCGGCUAAGCCUCAACUACCUGGCAGAUCUCAUGAUGAUACCUGAUCCGUUUUCAUUCCACUUGGCCAAGGACUGCUGACUUAUUGACUUAUUAACCACCAGAUGGCAGGCAAAGAAUUCAUGUCUCUUAAUUGCAAAGUAAGUGAUUCCUGGGAUUUGUGCCACCAGAUUGGGGCAUUGCAUACGUAUUUUUAAAUGCAGAAUUCAAGAAAGUCCAGGACUCAGACUCUGAUGAAGAUGCUCCAUCUGAACCCUGAAAUGUAAGCCUUGGGAGACUCAAAGCCAAGAGUCACUCAAGGCUGAUCAAAUGAUGGAGCAGCUGGAGCAGUCAGAUGAUGACAAACUACCUCUACUUGGAACUAGAUGGAGAACAGAACAAAGAUAUUGAGGCACCUUGCCAAGCAAGGCAGUAAUCCUCCUGAUUAAAUAUGCUAAAUGGGCUACAGCUUGAUUGAAGAAACAGCCAUGACCCAUCUGAUCUUCUGCUCUGGUGUAUAAUUCCUGGGAAUCAUAUACUGUAACUCUGACCUACAACUGUCUGACAAACUUGAUUUGGAUCUCUGAACUUGGACUGGAUUUUGACCAUUCUUCUGUGUUGAAAACAGAACCAUACAGUUUAGCUGAGAAACUUUGUUGAUUUACAUUUCUUCCUUGUCUACUGAUAACUGCUGGACCUUGAGUAAAUUGCUUUCUUCACCUGACAACUGUGAGUGUGUGAGGUUGACUGGAGGGCAGUGUCAGUGCAUGUUAGAGAUUGGCUCAGCUGUGAGGUGUUUUUCAUAUAGCCACAUGAUUUUUCCAAAAUGAUUACCUGUGGACACUAGAUGGCAUCAAAGAGAUUGUUAAUCACUCCUGGCUACCAUCUAGUGGUCUUCCAAAUUUGGGCAGCUAAAAUUCAGUCACUGAAUAAGUAUUAUUGUAUACAAUUUUAUUAAGAAUCUUUAUUAUAAUGGUAAAAUUUUAAUACAAAUUAAACUUUAAAAAAGUGAA
Thamnophis elegans (Western terrestrial garter snake) is the source of this 1344-nucleotide long non-coding RNA. RefSeq lists it as uncharacterized. Lineage: Eukaryota; Metazoa; Chordata; Lepidosauria; Squamata; Natricidae. The record is from RefSeq and is a predicted model, not a curated record. The transcript is spliced from 3 exons.